Molecule: non-coding RNA, 2752 nt
Organism: Pelobates cultripes (western spadefoot toad)
Lineage: Eukaryota; Metazoa; Chordata; Amphibia; Anura; Pelobatidae
Source: the annotation of a GenBank genome assembly
CAACUAUUCAUCUUCACCCUAGUGGAACAGCUGUUGCCAGGUGAGAAUGUUCUCCCAAGAACGUCUGAUAGCUUUCAGUAGAUUUGCCAUUGAGCUGUAUUCUCAUGCAAGAAUCCAGAUGGCUUAUGUAACCAUAAUAUUUAUACAUUUGUGCAUUGAAUUUAAAAAUGACUUCAAAUAAAAGAUUACAUGUAUUGUAGCCUCGGCGUGCAUUAUUUUGUAAUGCUAUCAUAUAAGUGAAUGCCUCUUUUCAGUACCACUCUUGGCCCACCCUUGCUCUAUGUACCCUUACAUCUCGAAGUUCUCCUUGGUUGACAAAUGCAUCUGACCAAAGAGGGCUAAUAAAUAUGGCUUCCAUGAGAAAAGUUUAUUAACAUUUAUUUAUUCUUUGGAAAAUAAUGCACAAGUCUAUAUAACAUGUAAACUUUAAUUUGAGAUAUUAAUGAAAAAAAUAACAGGUUUUCCUAAAAAAUGAUUUAUAAAUGCAAAACACCUUUAACUGGAUUUACUUAGUGAGGGUGGCGCCUACAAUGCUCAUUGAUAUUCUGAGUGACAUGAAAUAACUAUAAAAAUAUACAAUAUUAUUUGCCUUUCUACUAUGCUUGAACAUAGAACCAUGCUGUAUAUGUCACUUGUUGAAGUAAUCUGAACUAACCAAUAAGUAAAAGCAAACAACAGUCCAUUAGGGAUCAUACAUAAAACAAAUAUUACACAAUUGUCUAACUGCAGAAAAUAUUUUGUUAACAUUAUUAAGUACUUAAAUGUUUCCCUUUUGUGUUCAUCAAUUAGUGAAUUAUAUACAUCUCAGAUAGGGAUUGGCUACAAGUCCAUACGAUGCCGAGUUUAAAGCACAACUGAAUGGAAUUGAAAACUGAAUGGAAAAAUGAAUACAAAUGAAAUAAUAUGAGUCGUGCUGGAGCUAUUACAAUGUGGCAAUACAUUACAUCAAGGGUCUACAGAGACCAUCAAGUCAUAAGGUUGGACAUCUAGAGUAAUAGUAGCCAUAAUUCCACUGUGAAAUAUCUAGUCUAGACAUGCACUGACCCAAUGUAAAUUAGGGACUACGUUUCAGUUGUCUAAGGGGUUUCCUUUAAUUUUAAAAAGUGGAAAAUAGACAACAGACAUGGAUUUUCUUCUCAAGUGGGUUCCUUCAUAAUUAUCCUUUCUUUGAGCAGACUUGCAAAGUACUGGUGCAUGACAAGUCCUUGGAUCUCUUUCCCUAGGAGAAGGCAAAUAAUGAAUCCCUAAAGAAUUUGAAUACCCCAGACAAUACCCUUUCUGAAUCACCAAUAACACCCAUGAGGAACAUCUGGAUAAGAUGUAUGUCCAGAUGUUCCAAACAUAACACAUCUUGUCCAUACCACAUGGACCCAAGAUAAGCCUCAUUCAGAAAUGUUUCUGACUGCCGUGAAAUGAAGACACAUUUUUGAAAUGACACAAUCCUCGUGCACCUGUUGUUCCAAUUGAAUAUUAGUUACUUGGUCUGCAGGUUCUGCUAUCUUUGAAAGUGAUUCAUACUUCAUUUUAUAUUUUUUUAUCCUGAGACAAAAAUUCCUGUAUGCCACAGGCAGGCUUUUAAAAAGAAAAAUCUAACCCAAAGGUUUCAGUGACCCAAAAAUGUUGUGUUUGAAUGAGAUAUUGAUUGCCCAAGACUGGAACCAUCACAGCAAUCCUAAUUUCCUUUGUACUUGAAUGGACACACCAUCUAAGGCUUGCAUACACAAUAUUUAGACUUGCAUGUGUAGUCUUUAAAGGAAAUAUCUAAUUUUGCAAAACCAAAACAGCAAGAUAUUAUUGUAAAUGGAAGAUAUUACACAUGGGAUGUCAUUAUUUAACAGCAAAUAUCAAUUGUAGUGUAACUCUCCUUGCCCCUGUAAUUUUAAUAGGGGGUAAAGAGACCCAAGGGUGUAACAUUUCAUCAUGUUCUGGGUCACUCAAAGGAGAAAUGCUGAACCCUUCCAGGAGGGCAUUAUGCUGAUGACUCAGCUCCAGAGGUGAAAUGUGUCAGUCUAUUUGCUCUUCGUUUACCCCAUCAGCUUGGUGACCCCGCAUUUACCUAUUAGUACAGACAAAAAUGGAAGAGGAGAAAAAAAUGGAGAAAAGAAAAAUUAAAUCAGCAAUAAUGUUUUGUAUAUACCAUUUUGUUAAAAUGUGAAAACAGCCUGUGAGGCCAAGUAGAGUACAAAAUAAAAAAAUUACUUCAGAGAGCAAAUUAUUGUACUGUGUUGCAGAAUAUAUUGCAGCUUUCGAAGUAAUAAUAUAUACCAUUCAAAGCAUAUUUUCUGUCCUAGCAGCUGAGUAGACCCUAACCCAUUUGAUAUUUGCCCAUUGAGUGCCAGUCAAGCAGUAGAAGAAAGGGAAUAUCAUGGUUGGUCUAUUUUCCCAUUGAGUGCCAUUCACAUACUUGUUGAAAUGGAAUAAGUAUGGACUCUACAAUCGAUAUAGGUAAAAUUCUGACCAACCCAGAGAGCCACAAUGUUCUCGGUAUAAUACUUUCAAGAACACGUGUGUACUGUUUUCCUGGCUCACUGGGGAAAAAAUAAUCAGAUAAUAUUCAGAGCUCCCGCAAUAGCACAGACUUGUUUUCUGGAAAUAAGAUCCCGAUCAUCAUCAGCCAUAAGGCUGGUCAGCAAUAUCCAAUUGCCCAUUGCAUUUCUAGAUGCUCAGUCGUACUUGAAGAGUUAACGAAUCUCGGUCUGUGCCAUUAAAUCUGAAAAAUAAAAUAAAUGCAUUCCAUUUACUAUAUUUAAUG